GCUGUGGCUAAUCACAAUCUCUGAAUGCGCAGCACAACCAUCUGACAGGCGGCUCUCCUCUCCCUCAGCCUGGAGAUGGUCCCAGAUUGUCAUGAGACAGACCACCUUGCUCCUAGUGGCACACAGGACGUACACAAUGGCUGCGCAUGGAGUUAAUGACAUGAAAGUGCCACACUGACGUCUGCCCGUCCGGAGUAGCUGUUAACCCCGGGCAUUUUAUUGCCCCAUUUGCCAGGUCUCUCAUCUCAGCCGCCUACGAAGGUCAAAUCCUGCAUAUUUACGCCAAACUUGAGAGUUGACCAAGUGCCUUUCCCAUGCAUCUUCCUGUUUCACCCCAAGCCGAAAGGUUUGGAAAACAUGCCACCCUUUUAACCUCGGAGAGACUUCUGCCUGGGAAAAGAAUUAAGUGAAAUAAACUCUUUUGAGGGCCUGUGAUCA
Molecule: long non-coding RNA, 438 nt
Filed under: Sus scrofa (pig)
Lineage: Eukaryota; Metazoa; Chordata; Mammalia; Artiodactyla; Suidae
Description: lncRNA (ENSSSCG00070001604.1)
Source: RNAcentral